CCGCGGCCGCUCGCCGCAGGCAGCAGCAGCAGCAGCAGCAGCAACAACAGCAACAGCAACAGCAGCCGUCGCCAUCG
This 77-nucleotide microRNA precursor is filed under the name Dasypus novemcinctus (nine-banded armadillo). Its description in RNAcentral is "miRNA (ENSDNOG00000037014.1)". Lineage: Eukaryota; Metazoa; Chordata; Mammalia; Cingulata; Dasypodidae. The record is from RNAcentral.